AUACGUAGGGGGCAAGCGUUAUCCGGAUUUACUGGGCGUAAAGGGCGUGUAGGCGGUCUUGCAAGUCAGAAGUGAAAUUCCUGAGCUCAACUCGGGCGCUGCUUCUGAAACUGCAGGACUUGAGUGCUGGAGGGGGUAGCGGAAUUCCUAGUGGAGCGGUAAAAUGCGCAGAUAUUAGGAAGAACACCGGUGGCGAAGGCGGCGUUCUGGACAGUAACUGACGCUGAGGGGAGAAAGCCUUGGGAACAAACAGGGUUAGAUACCCUGGUUGUCCACGGCGUAAACGAUGAAUACUAGGUGUAGGGGGUAUCGACUCCCUCUGUGCCGCAGUUAACACAAUAAGUAUUCCGCCUGGGGAGUACGGCCGCAAGGUUGAAACUCAAAUGAAUUGACGGGG
RNAcentral lists this ribosomal RNA (397 nucleotides) under uncultured bacterium. RNAcentral's name for it is "partial 16S ribosomal RNA". It matches the Rfam family "Bacterial small subunit ribosomal RNA", at positions 523 to 918 of the family's 1533-position model. The record is from RNAcentral.